This is a non-coding RNA of Paramormyrops kingsleyae, 283 nucleotides long. NCBI's taxonomy places the organism in Eukaryota, Metazoa, Chordata, Actinopteri, Osteoglossiformes, Mormyridae. The record is from RefSeq and is a predicted model, not a curated record.
CUGGGAAACGUAAUCCAGGCCUGGGAGAGGACAUCUAUCUACACCUGUCCUGCUGAGGGAAACCUGGGCUUUGAGAUGCUGUGCCAGAAGACUUGUGCCAGCUGUGGAGUACAGUCCACCAGGGUGGAGGACUUCAAUCAUCUGUCCUUGGAUGUCAUCCCACACGUCUCUGUGCAAGACCUCUUGGGGAACUAUUUCAAGGACGCAGAGGUGGAGCUGACUUGUGCCACCUGCGGUGGGAGCCAGGCUGUGCUGUCAUGGUCAUUCCUCACGCUGCCUAGUG